Fimicolochytrium jonesii is the source of this 82-nucleotide non-coding RNA. Lineage: Eukaryota; Fungi; Chytridiomycota; Chytridiomycetes; Spizellomycetales; Powellomycetaceae. The record is from the annotation of a RefSeq genome assembly.
GACACUGUGUCCGAGUGGUUAAGGAGUUUGCCUCGAAAGCAAAUAGGCUUUGCCUGCAGAGGUUCGAAUCCUCUCAGUGUCG